This is a long non-coding RNA of Impatiens glandulifera, 340 nucleotides long. RefSeq lists it as uncharacterized. Lineage: Eukaryota; Viridiplantae; Streptophyta; Magnoliopsida; Ericales; Balsaminaceae. The record is from RefSeq and is a predicted model, not a curated record. The transcript has 3 exons.
UAAACGUUUCAAAACCUAGCUUUUCUUCUACUUCAAUUGCAACUGCAAAAAUCCCUCUUCAAUCUUAUUCGUUUGAUCCGAUUCCUUGCUCCUUUUCCAAUCUCAUUCCAGUACAUUACAAUCAGAUUGUAAUCCUCAAACAAGUAAAGUAUCUUUUUUAGUUUCCCUUUCGAUCUGGGCUGUCGUAGGAAGAAUUGAGCCGCAGUAAACUGGAGUUUUCUUUGAGGCUAUUUGCUUGUUAAUUGGGGUUGAAGAUGUUUCACCGGACAAACAAGCUGAUUUUCUUUCGGCAUUGCUUAAUCCCCUUUGCCAGCAGGUGGAGGUGUUGCUGCAAAAUGCC